CCUACGGGAGGCAGCAGUAGGGAAUAUUGCUCAAUGGCCGAAACCCUGAAGCAGCAACGCCGCGUGGAGGAUGAAGGUUCUCGGAGUGUAAACCCUCUUUGUUAGAGAAGAUAACGACGGUACUUAACGAAUAAUCACCGUCCAACUCCGUGCCAGCAGCCGCGGGUAUACGGAGGGAGCAAGCGUUAUUCGGAAUCACCGGGCGUAAAGGGCGCGCAGGCGGGAUAGCAGGUCAGAUGUGAAAUCCUAUGGCUUAACCAUAGAACUGCAUUUGAAACUGUUAGUCUAGAGUAUGGGAGAGGUAGGUGGAAUUCUUGGUGUAGGGGUGAAAUCCGUAGAGAUCGAGAGGAAUACUCAUUGCGAAGGCGGCCUGCUGGAACGUAACUGACGCUGAGGCGCGAAAGCGUGGGGAGCAAACAGGAUUAGAUACCCGAGUAGUC
RNAcentral lists this ribosomal RNA (440 nucleotides) under uncultured bacterium. Its description in RNAcentral is "partial 16S ribosomal RNA". It matches the Rfam family "Bacterial small subunit ribosomal RNA", at positions 338 to 795 of the family's 1533-position model. The record is from RNAcentral.